CCUACGUGAGGCUGCAGUGGGGAAUAUUGGACAAUGGGCGAAAGCCUGAUCCAGCCAUGCCGCGUGUGUGAAGAAGGCCUUCGGGUUGUAAGGCACUUUCAGUGGGGAAGAAAGCCUUGGGGCUAAUACCCUCGAGGAAGGACAUCACCCACAGAAGAAGCACCGGCUAACUCCGUGCCAGCAGCCGCGGUAAUACGGAGGGUGCGAGCGUUAAUCGGAAUUACUGGGCGUAAAGCGCGCGUAGGCGGUCUGAUAAGCCGGUUGUGAAAGCCCCGGGCUCAACCUGGGAACGGCAUCCGGAACUGUCAGGCUAGAGUGCAGGAGAGGAAGGUAGAAUUCCUGGUGUAGCGGUGAAAUGCGUAGAGAUCGGGAGGAAUACCAGUGGCGAAGGCGGCCUUCUGGACUGACACUGACGCUGAGGUGCGAAAGCGUGGGUAGCAAACAGGAUUAGAUACCCCGGUAGUC
This 465-nucleotide ribosomal RNA is filed under the name Vreelandella stevensii. RNAcentral describes it as "partial 16S ribosomal RNA". It matches the Rfam family "Bacterial small subunit ribosomal RNA", at positions 338 to 795 of the family's 1533-position model. Lineage: Bacteria; Pseudomonadati; Pseudomonadota; Gammaproteobacteria; Oceanospirillales; Halomonadaceae. The record is from RNAcentral.